AAACUUCAAAAAGCUGUAGUUGGGCUUAAAGGCCGUGGAUGGAAAGAAGGGAGACUUUCGCCCUGGAAAUCCGGUGCCCCGAGAGGCAAGUUGGUCAGAGGGGAGCACACAAUGAGAGGCUGCCAUCUAUUAACCAGAGAACAAGUCCUUGCCAGACAGCAAAUCUGCUGACACCUUGAUCCUGGACUUCUAAGCCUCUAUAACUUAGGACAUGAUGAAAACUUUACAGAUGAUAUGAUGUCUGGGAUUUGUUUCAAAUAAUGAUGCAAGAGAGAGGUGGCCAUCCGGAAAACACCAGGUUAUAUUCAACCUGAGAAAGCUGAUUUAAAACAGAAACAAAAACAAGAUCUUUGUUAUUGCUGAAGACGGACAAUGGGUAUGUUGGAUUUCUUAUACUACUGUUUCUACCUCAGACUUGGCUCAUCCUUUGGUGCUGUGCAGCCCUUGAGCAGGCUUGACCCUCUCUGUGCCUCAGGGAGGUUCACCUGCUGUUCUUAUUCCCACCAGCUCCCACCUGCCUGGCACUUUCCCUUUUGGAACCUCAGGUUCUGCUUCUGUAGGAUUUGGGAAAUCUGAGCCCAGUUUCAUAAUAAAAAGUCAGAAAACA
This is a long non-coding RNA of Homo sapiens (human), 607 nucleotides long. RefSeq lists it as uncharacterized. The transcript has 3 exons. The record is from RefSeq and is a predicted model, not a curated record. NCBI's taxonomy places the organism in Eukaryota, Metazoa, Chordata, Mammalia, Primates, Hominidae.